CGGGAAAUGGCUCAACUUGGUAGAGCACUUGGUUUGGGACCAAGGGGUUGCAGGUUCAAAUCCUGUCUUCCCGACCA
This 77-nucleotide transfer RNA is filed under the name Mycoplasmatota bacterium. RNAcentral's name for it is "tRNA-Pro". It matches the Rfam family "tRNA". From Rfam's summary of the family: Transfer RNA (tRNA) molecules are approximately 80 nucleotides in length. Their secondary structure includes four short double-helical elements and three loops (D, anti-codon, and T loops). RNAcentral also lists the same sequence under 1 other name. The record is from RNAcentral. Lineage: Bacteria; Bacillati; Mycoplasmatota.